CUCAAUCAACAUACAAGAAUAAGUUCUAAAUCAAACGGUUAAGCAAAUUGUAUUCACGACUUAUGCAACGAUAAUUGGAAGUAAUCAACUUAUUUCACAUAUAUAAUCAUGGUUUUGAAUGCACCCUUAGCCAAAACGAAAUUAGCCAAUCAUACUUAAAGCAAAACAAAGAUUAAAUGAAUUAGACAUUGAAAUAUAAGAUAGAAUACACCUAAAAUUGUUCAACAACUCAGAAUGAAGAGCGAAACAAUUGAGUGAAACUGUCCUCUUUCCUUGCUUGCGGCAGAUUGGAUGUUGGUGGUUCCUGGGCUGUUUUGAUGAUGUAGAAUGGAUUUUGGGGGGUGUAGAGGCACGGAAAGGGGUGUAGGGUGAGUGUGGAAGAGUGUUUGAUGGUUGGAAGGUGAUGGAGAACUCGGCAAAGAGGGUGGAAGAAGGUGGAGCGGCUGUUGUAUUUUCUGGGCGCUAGAAUGGUGUUUCUGGGGUGUUUUGCUGCCUAGGGUGUGUAUGGACGAAUUUCUGUGAUGAAUGAUGGGAGGUGGUCCUUUCGGCCAAAAGGUUUAAUGAGUAUAUAUAGGCACUUAAAAACCCUAGCAAAUCAGAUUAGGGUUUCUAGAAGCCCAAAUCCAUCAGAAACUAGGUUAAAGCAACAGAUUUUGAAUGGGAAAAGGCCUAGGGUGCGGCUGGAUGGAUAGGGUAAAGGAUGGGCCUUCUAGAAUGCCUUGCAAGGCAAGGCAAAGGGUUUCUAGAAAGGGGAAAGGUGCGGCCCAAGUCUAAGAGGAUGAGGAUAGGUCAUCUAAAAGCCCAAAGCCAAGAAUAGAAACUCUCAAAAAUGGAAACCUCCAAGAAUAGAAACUUCCAACUUUAGAAACUUUGGUUUCCACUUCUGUAUUCUUUGUUCUUCACUUUCAUUUCUUCAUCUCUUAGGCUCCUUUGACCUUCAAACUUGUCCAUUCCUUGUGCUCCAUAUGCAUACACUCCAUUCCAGCUCAAUUUUGCUCUAAAAUGCUCCAAUUUGCAUCAUUUUAUGUAAUAUGCCCUUAAAACUUGAAAACACAUGAAACUAGCUUAAAAGACUACUUUAAACUCAGAAAACAUAAUGAAAAUGCAUAAGAACUAGCUAACUAAGGUGCAUAAAUAUGCUCCUAUCAUGUGUGAAGCUUUUGAGAACUGUGGUUGCCCUCCUUUGAUGAAGCUCUUGUUGGCACCAUAAAUUGGUUUUGCUUCACACUGUCUUGAUCAAGAGUGUGUGAAGUUUUUGAGAAUUUUGGUUGCCCUCCAUUGAUGAAGCUUUUGUUGGCACCAUAAAUUGGUUUUGCUUCACACUGUCUUGAUCAAGAGUGUGUGAAGCUUUUGAGAAUUGUGGUUGAACUCCUUUGAUGAAGCUCUUGUUGGCACCAUCAAUUGGUUUUGCUUCACACCGUCUUGAUUAAGAGUGUGUGAAGGUUUCUACGAGUUGUAGUAUUUGCAUUGUUACAGAGGGGAAAUGUUUGAAGUAGAUGCAAGAGGGCUGAAUAGCUUGAUAUUUGUAUGCCAUGCACUGAAGUUGUUGUUGGCUUGCAAUAAGACUUUGUUGGUGACUAUAACUCUUGUUGGGCAUAAGUGCUCCCCUAGUUGAGUUGUUAAGCAUGAGGGUUUUUGAUUAUUUGUGAAUGCUAGGAGUUCACAUGUACAAGUUGUACCACUCUUCUUCUGGUAGGUGGAAUGAAUGGUGAGUUCCUUCUUCACCUGGUUCGUGGCAUGAGUGGCAAGUUGUGAAAUGAUAUUAGAGUACGGGUUAUACAUUUCAUUACCUGGUUGGUGGCAUGAAGGAAAGUACGAGUGUACAUUUCAUCACCUGGUUGGUGGCAUGAAGAUGAGUUCCUUCUUCACAUUUCAUCACUUGGUUGGUGAGAAUAAGGGUAAGGUGUCGAGGCACAUUGUAGUAAGUGUCAAAUGACAUAAAGUAUGUUGAACCUUUUUGAAGCACAGUUGGCUUAUGUAUAGAUGUGUUAGAAUGUAUGAUGUUUAUGUAUGAAUGUGUUGGAAUGUGUGAUGUUUAUGUUAAUUAAUAUGAGUGAUGCUUAUGAAUAUUUUGCUAUGCAUGAAGGGAUCCAUGCUUUUGAUAUGUGAACCAUGUUGGUUGUAACACUUAGUAUCACAUAUUUUGUGUCAAACUACGCAUGUUGAAGCUUUGAGUUGGAGUAUAAAGAUAGGUCAGCGUAGACCAAUUGUUCUAGUGUUAGGAACGCAAAAGACUCAGAAGAAGUUGUAUGAAUUCCCUUUUCUUUAAAUAUUUGCCGAAUGGCUUAUGUGACAAAAGAUCUCAAGCGGUUGAGAGUCAAAACAUUUGUAAUGUGUAUGCCUUCUUAUAAUAGCAUUUCCUUCAGUACCUAGUCCUUUACUUUGAAAGAGUGAGGCUUGGCCCCAUAGUCAUAAUAGUCAACGGUAAGUUCACCCCUGGUUGUUUUGAUACGAACUUUUAUCCCUCUUGUUGUAAUGGGCUUGCUGAGAGUAAAAAUCCUUCUUCUUACCAAGAGACAGAUACGUUUAGUGACUUAGCGAUUAGCUAAAUAAGGCAGGAGAUGAUGCAAUGGGUGUCUGAAUGGCCAAGAUCUCCUUACUUGGUAGAACUUGACUUCCACUUCCCACUUGUUGAUAGGGGUUAACCAUAUGGGGGUUCCCAUGGUAUGUUUUUGCUUCAGCGGAAGCAUUGUUGUAAGCCUGUACCAUCACCUUAGAGUAAGUCUUCCAAGUGUUGGCAUUGAUCAUAUACUUAAAGAAACAAUCACAUAGGCCUGCCGUGAAGGCCUUGAGGGUGGUCUUGUCAUCUGCCUCAGUGCUGCGAGAAUACUCAUGGCUGAAGCGACCGACAUACUCUCGUAGUGACUCGUCCGACUUAUGGUGAAUAAUGUACAAGUCAUCUGCAGAAUACAAGCGAUCGGUCUGGAAGAUGUGUUGAGAGAUAAACAGUUUCUUCAGUUCCUCAAAUGAGUAUACUAUCUCAGGUGGAAGACGGCAUUACCAGUUUAGAGCUCCGAGAGGGUGGAGGGGAAGAGAAGACAUCACUCUUUGCGGUGUGCAUCCGAUAUGCCAUGGUGGACUCAAAGAGGUUAAGGUGUUCAAUUGGGUUUUUCCUUCCAGUAUAGAGUUGUAAACCAAGCUUUUGUUUUGUCUUCACUUGAAGGGAGGUGUCGAAGAUCCUCCUUGUGAGAGGGCCAGGCCUGCGUUGGUUCCAUUCAGGUAUCUCGGCAUGACGGUCGGCCUUCAACUUGUUUACUUCCUCAAAGAGUUGUAGGACAAGAGGGUCUUGAGUGGAGUCAUGUACCACUGGAAUUUUC
This 3317-nucleotide long non-coding RNA is filed under the name Malus domestica (apple). Its description in RNAcentral is "long non-coding RNA (MDOM_LNC002907)". Lineage: Eukaryota; Viridiplantae; Streptophyta; Magnoliopsida; Rosales; Rosaceae. The record is from RNAcentral.